Molecule: ribosomal RNA, 429 nt
Filed under: uncultured archaeon
Lineage: Archaea
Description: bacterial SSU rRNA
Rfam family: Archaeal small subunit ribosomal RNA
Source: RNAcentral
UACCAGCUCUCCGAGUGGUGGGGACGCUUAUUGGGCCUAAAGCAUUCGUAGCCGGCUGGGCAAGUCCUCCGUUAAAUCCAACGAUUCAAUCGUUGGCCUGCAGGGGAUACUGUUUGGCUAGGAGGCGGUAGAGGCCGACGGUAUUUCCGGGGUAGGGGUGAAAUCCUAUAAUCCCGGGAGGACCAUCAGUGGCGAAGGCUGUCGGCUGGAACGCGCUCGACGGUGAGGGAUGAAAGCUGGGGGAGCGAACCGGAUUAGAUACCCGGGUAGUCCCAGCUGUAAACUUUGCAGGCUGGGUGUUGGUGCGGCUACGUGCCGCUCCGGUGCCGUAGGGAAACCGUUAAGCCUGCCGCCUGGGAAGUACGGUCGCAAGGCUGAAACUUAAAGGAAUUGGCGGGGGAGCACCACAAGGGGUGAAGCUUGCGGUUU